UACGUAGGGGGCUAGCGUUGUCCGGAAUCAUUGGGCGUAAAGCGCGUGUAGGCGGUCCGGUAAGUCCGCUGUGAAAGUCGGGGGCUCAACCCUCGAAUGCCGGUGGAUACUGUCGGGCUAGAGUACGGAAGAGGAGUGUGGAAUUCCUGGUGUAGCGGUGAAAUGCGCAGAUAUCAGGAGGAACACCAAUGGCGAAGGCAGCACUCUGGGACGUGACUGACGCUGAGACGCGAAAGCGUGGGGAGCAAACAGG
Molecule: ribosomal RNA, 253 nt
Filed under: uncultured bacterium
Lineage: Bacteria
Description: partial 16S ribosomal RNA
Rfam family: Bacterial small subunit ribosomal RNA
Source: RNAcentral